AAGAGACUCAAUUUCUGGGUUCAGUGUUUAACAUUUGAUCGUUCGUCUUAUUUGAAGAAAUUUAAAUAGUUAGGUCAUGCAUAAAUUAUUAUUCAUAUUUUAUCAUCUAACAAUAAUGAAAAUACUAAUCAUAAAAAAAGUUCAUAUAAGACGGACGGUCAAACAUUGAACGCGGAAACCCAAG
This is a microRNA precursor of Oryza rufipogon (brownbeard rice), 184 nucleotides long. It matches the Rfam family "MIR812 microRNA precursor family". Lineage: Eukaryota; Viridiplantae; Streptophyta; Magnoliopsida; Poales; Poaceae. The record is from Rfam.